UCUUGAUGUCUUUAUAAUUUCCAUUUUCAACUUCUGGUUCCGGAUUCUUAGGUUUGCACUGCAGAGAGAAAAAAACAGAGUGAGCACAGAGAUGUGACAGGAAGAGAAAACACACACGCUUUGAUGAACAUUCAUACUCAGACUGCACACUGUCACAUACUAUUUUUGAAAAGUAGUUUCUAAGUCAGUAUUUACUACUAAACUGUUCCAGAAGAGUUCAACCCAAAUAUUUAGAUAUGUGCAGCACAUUUUAUGGAGGAUUGUUUCCUGAUCCUGGGAGAGAAGACUACAAUGCCGGCUGUUCUGACUCACAGUCUACGAAGGCCGCUGCCACAAUAGUUGAUUGACACUAGUGUUUUACCUUGGACCUGCCCUGAGUGAGAUGUGAACAGUCCGCCAUUGUUUCGACAACGGAGCAGAGAUGUAGACAAGAAUGUCUCCACAGGAAUUGAGGUAUUAUUCCUAAUAAGGUGCUAGUUUUGUGGCUAAAUGCGGCUAUAGUAAACACAAUAGCUGUGUCUCAUAUAGAAGGCUGCGCUCUUCGGAGGUCGCAUUCGAAGACUGCAUACGUCAUUGAGGCGGUCUCAUUUCAGAAAAGCAGGCAGGACACUCUGAAUGCGACCUUCUUUCACAGGAAUUCCGAGGAUGCAUGAGGUGUAUCCUUCGCUGCUACAGAUAACCCACAAUUCUUUGCAUCGCCGUAAACAGCUGUCAUUAAUUUGAAAAAUGGCGGAGCUGGCAGAUGUACACACAAGUGCAGAUGUGGUGCUUAAUACUCACCUUAAUCCGUAAAAACGGAUAAACUUUGUUCUUAAUAUCCUCCUUCUCCUUUUCGCUAACUAAUAUCUGCUGUACAUACGCUGCAGUUCCUCAAACAUAGGGCAAAAAAAUUUAAAAAUUUUUUUUAAAUUUUUUUUCAAAUUAAUUUCCAAAUUUAGAAAUAAUUUUCCUUCAUUUAAAGGGUUACUUCGCCCAAAAAUAAAAAUUAGCCCAUAAAUUACUCA
Molecule: long non-coding RNA, 1004 nt
Organism: Cyprinus carpio (common carp)
Lineage: Eukaryota; Metazoa; Chordata; Actinopteri; Cypriniformes; Cyprinidae
Source: Ensembl